Molecule: unclassified non-coding RNA, 301 nt
Filed under: Cortinarius infractus
Lineage: Eukaryota; Fungi; Basidiomycota; Agaricomycetes; Agaricales; Cortinariaceae
Description: sequence contains 5.8S rRNA gene
Rfam family: 5.8S ribosomal RNA (bases 1-53)
Source: RNAcentral
GAACGCACCUUGCGCUCCUUGGUAUUCCGAGGAGCAUGCCUGUUUGAGUGUCAUUAAUAUAUCAACCUCUCUAAGCUUAUGCUUGUUGAGUGUUGGAUGUGGGGGGGUUAUUUUUGCUGGCAUCUUUAUGAAGUCAGCUCCCCUGAAAUGCAUUAGCGGGACAAUUUGUUGACCGUUCAUUGGCGUGAUAAAUAUCUAUGCUAUUGAUGUCAGUCAGUUCAGCUUCUAACAGUCCAUUGACUUGGACAAAUGUUUCAUUAAUGUGACCUCAAAUCAGGUAGGACUACCCGCUGAACUUAAG